GAGGGACCUCAUUAAAAUUUGUUCAUAGUGAGGUGAUCUGUGGCUGAUUAUCUCCCUUACAUUGUUUGAUGGCGGGAUCCAUGGAGAUGUCCAGAAAAUGACCAACAUGCUGUUUGAAACUU
Long non-coding RNA from Pecten maximus, 122 nucleotides. RefSeq lists it as uncharacterized. The transcript has 2 exons. NCBI's taxonomy places the organism in Eukaryota, Metazoa, Mollusca, Bivalvia, Pectinida, Pectinidae. The record is from RefSeq and is a predicted model, not a curated record.